Molecule: ribosomal RNA, 467 nt
Filed under: uncultured bacterium
Lineage: Bacteria
Description: partial 16S ribosomal RNA
Rfam family: Bacterial small subunit ribosomal RNA
Source: RNAcentral
GAUGAACGCUGGCGGCGUGCUUAACACAUGCAAGUCGAACGGUGAAGGCGGAGCUUGCUCUGCUGGAUCAGUGGCGAACGGGUGAGUAACACGUGAGCAAUCUACCCCUGACUCUGGGAUAAGCGCUGGAAACGGCGUCUAAUACUGGAUACGAGCUGCGAAGGCAUCUUCAGCAGCUGGAAAGAACUUCGGUCAGGGAUGAGCUCGCGGCCUAUCAGCUUGUUGGUGAGGUAACGGCUCACCAAGGCGUCGACGGGUAGCCGGCCUGAGAGGGUGACCGGCCACACUGGGACUGAGACACGGCCCAGACUCCUACGGGAGGCAGCAGUGGGGAAUAUUGCACAAUGGGCGAAAGCCUGAUGCAGCAACGCCGCGUGAGGGACGACGGCCUUCGGGUUGUAAACCUCUUUUAGCAGGGAAGAAGCGAAAGUGACGGUACCUGCAGAAAAAGCGCCGGCUAACUACGU